GUACUUACCUGGCAGGGCAGAUACCGUCAAGGAAGAUAUCGUGAUCGGGAAGGUGGUUUCCCCAGGCCGAGGCUUAUCCAUUGCACUCCGAAUGUGCUGAUCCCUGCAGUUUCCCCAAAUGGGGGGAGACUUGACUGCAUAACUUGUGGUAGUGGGGGACUGCGGUCGCACUCUCCCUUG
RNAcentral lists this small nuclear RNA (180 nucleotides) under Dasypus novemcinctus (nine-banded armadillo). Its description in RNAcentral is "U1 spliceosomal RNA (ENSDNOG00000044432.1)". It matches the Rfam family "U1 spliceosomal RNA". Rfam says of the family: U1 is a small nuclear RNA (snRNA) component of the spliceosome (involved in pre-mRNA splicing). Its 5' end forms complementary base pairs with the 5' splice junction, thus defining the 5' donor site of an intron. The record is from RNAcentral. Lineage: Eukaryota; Metazoa; Chordata; Mammalia; Cingulata; Dasypodidae.